AGUGAACGCUGGCGGUAGGCCUAACACAUGCAAGUCGAACGGCAGCACAGUAAGAGCUUGCUCUUACGGGUGGCGAGUGGCGGACGGGUGAGGAAUACAUCGGAAUCUACUUUUUCGUGGGGGAUAACGUAGGGAAACUUACGCUAAUACCGCAUAUGACCUACGGGUGAAGCAGGGGAUCUUCGGACCUUGCGCGAUUGAAUGAGCCGAUGUCGGAUUAGCUAGUUGGCGGGGUAAAGGCCCACCAAGGCGACGAUCCGUAGCUGGUCUGAGAGGAUGAUCAGCCACACUGGAACUGAGACACGGUCCAGACCCCUACGGGAGGCAGCAGUGGGGAAUAUUGGACAAUGGGCGCAAGCCUGAUCCAGCCAUACCGCGUGGGUGAAGAAGGCCUUCGGGUUGUAAAGCCCUUUUGUUGGGAAAGAAAAGCAGCAGGUUAAUACCCCGCUGUUCUGACGGUACCCAAAGAAUAAGCACCGGCUAACUUCGU
This 490-nucleotide ribosomal RNA is filed under the name uncultured bacterium. Its description in RNAcentral is "partial 16S ribosomal RNA". It matches the Rfam family "Bacterial small subunit ribosomal RNA", at positions 29 to 506 of the family's 1533-position model. The record is from RNAcentral.